UGGUGACUUGCUUUCUCAAGGACCAUUCAGGUGAAAGGUUUCCUUCCUAAAGCAUAAGCCACCAGGAACAGCUGGGAAGGUAGCUUCUUGGCUCACACCCAUUCAUUCAUUCAUAAAUAAUUGCUGAGCGCCUGCUCCACAGUGGCCCUGUGCUAGGCUCUGCAACCAUUGCACCCAGGAAAAAAAAAAAAGAAAACAAGGAACUUACCCCAUUGAGUGUACCUGCUAGGCGUUAAUCCAAUGACCACACUGAUAACUGGAUAAUUGCACGGAGAUAACGUGCUCUUAUGGAAAGAUACAGAGUUCUAUGAGGGGAAUAAACCAAGAAGCCUGACGUAGGCUGGGGCCUGAGGGAAGGCUUCCCCAAGGAAAUGUGGUUUGGGCUGAAAACCAAAAAGUGAGGCGACAUCAACCAGGGAAGGAAGAGAAAGGGCAUCCCAAACAGCCGGAGCCCAGUGGAGCUGGAGAGCAGAGUCUGGCAGGUGUGCCCGGAGCUGCUGCGGAGAUGGGGGCCACUAUGCUGGACCCCACAUCCCAAUUCACUCAGGGCCUGCGUUCCGAGAGCAGUGUCAAGUAGCCUCAGCCCUUAAGCAGGGGCUGACAUGAUCAGAUCUGGGUUGUCACAGAAUCCUCUGGCUGCGGGACUCGGAGGUGGAGCCAGAGCAGAUGGGAGUUAGAAUGGGGAUCAGGUCCCAGGAGUUCAGGCUUGUGCCUCUUGGGCCUGGGAGGCCUGACCACUUUCAUUUAUCAAGGCUCCCAGUAUAUUGUGAUAUUAAGAACUAAUAAAAGAAGAUCAUAGAAAUUGAUUUAUUUUAAUGUUUACAUUUUAAAAAACAUUUGGCCUGAAAACUACAAUACAAGUGUGCUUUUCAAAGAAAAACUCUGAUUUAUUUAUUUUAAUUAAUUCAUAGUGCCCUGCAGGCUGUGUGGUCCUUGUUGAUAGAUCAUAAGUUGAAACACAAACAAUACGAUGAACAUCUUUUCAUCUAGUCAUUGUAUCUCUAGGACCAAAUGUGUAACCUUACUUGGCAACAACACCAAAGUCUAAGUCUGAGUCUCUUUGUAAAUGGCUCGCCCACUUAUCUGUCAUGAUGGAGCACAGUCCAAGUGAGAGAUGAGAGAUGAGAGAGUUGGAUGGGGGCAAGAAGGACCACGGGGAGGGAGAUAAGUGAACUGACUCCAGUGAGUCCACCACUUAAGAAUGUGUGGAUCGUUCACUGCUCAAGAGCUCCCAGUCAAGGACGUGAGUGGGGGCUGCAGUUCAGCCAGAGCCUUACUUUCCACUCAUUGAGUCCUGGCACAGGACUGAGUCCGCUGGAGGAUGAGAUGUCUUCUACUUUGCACAAAGCACCAUGCAUGCUUGCAGUGGCCCUCCAUGAGACAGACAGUGAGGAGAUAACAUAGAAGGGCUUGGAAAUAGAUUAGAUAUGGGAGUGAGGAAAUGGAAGGAUAAAGGUCUUACCUCCACUUCUUUUUCCACCCCACCCCUUCCUGGCCCAAACCAAGGUAUGAAGCAGCUGGAAUCUCCAAUUUUUAUCCCUGCCAUCCUGUCUGCCCCACCCUAUCCAUCUAUCCCAUCCAGUAUUCUCUACCUCGCUCUCCCCCACGCCUCCCUCCCCACCACUGCUCUGAUAAGCCAACUCUGCUCAUAGAAGAAUCUUCUAUCUAAAGACAGUUUAGAAGUUUUAAGAAGCUGAAGGCAACUCCUCAAAUCCAUACAGUGCAAAUAUUUUGUGGCCUGAGAGCCUUUCUCUUAUCUAGGAAUUUGUGACAUUGAGAUGAUUCAUGGAAAACUUUUUCAACCAAAUGAACCAAGUGAAUCAAGAUACCCAACCCAUGAGUUACAACCAGCCCCUCUUCCCAAGACCUCCUGUUCACACAGCACCAGAGUUCCAUGCUUGUUGUCACUGAUCUAAAGGACGCCUCUGUCCAGUGUGACUCCUUGUCCCCUGGAGUUACACAGUGAGGCUGCCCUGCUCCUCGGCCAUUUGUCAGAGGCCAGAGCUAUCAUUUGCAGGCCCUGAAAGGGACAUGAGAAGCAAGCAGAAGCCUAGGUUGGGAAAUGCCCGGGCCUGGGCAGUAUCCUUGUUCUGCAUCAUGACUUGGCUUUCUGCCACCUUUCCACAGGUGCAAAGCUUGGGGCAAGCCACCUCGCAGGUCUAGAGGAGGAAACAGAGAGACAAGCCCUGGGAGUGGAUGCUCCCAGGAACCAGUGUUUGGAGCACCUAGAAUGCCCUCCUGUCUUCUCACUUCCCUAUUUAGGGAUAGGGCGGAAGACUUCAUCAUUCUUGGCUAAAGGAGCAUCAUGCGACAUGAGAUUUGCAACUGGAGAGAGCAUUGCCCAGUUGCUGUGACCAUCUUUAAUGCUCGAGCACAGCACAGUAAGUCUUGGCCUGCUUUGACACGGAAGAAGAGGAGAAGAGGAGGAGGAAAUGAGGACGAGAGAGAAGGGAUUGGGUCUCAGCCAUUGAAUCCUUCCUGUUAUGCUAGCCUUCUGAGCAGGGGGACUCUG
Equus asinus (donkey) is the source of this 2512-nucleotide long non-coding RNA. The record is from Ensembl. NCBI's taxonomy places the organism in Eukaryota, Metazoa, Chordata, Mammalia, Perissodactyla, Equidae.